RNAcentral lists this non-coding RNA (102 nucleotides) under Bacillus solimangrovi. RNAcentral's name for it is "Guanine sequence". It matches the Rfam family "Purine riboswitch aptamer". From Rfam's summary of the family: Riboswitches are metabolite binding domains within certain messenger RNAs that serve as precision sensors for their corresponding targets. Allosteric rearrangement of mRNA structure is mediated by ligand binding, and this results in modulation of gene expression. The record is from Rfam by way of RNAcentral. Lineage: Bacteria; Bacillati; Bacillota; Bacilli; Caryophanales; Bacillaceae.
UCUAAAAAUUUAAAAAUCGCUCGUAUAUUCUCAGUAAUAUGGUCUGAGAGUUUCUAUAGGUUCCCAUUGUAAGAGCCUACUACGAGAUGAGCUGUUACUUUU